RNAcentral lists this transfer RNA (88 nucleotides) under Betaproteobacteria bacterium. RNAcentral's name for it is "tRNA-Leu". It matches the Rfam family "tRNA". Rfam says of the family: Transfer RNA (tRNA) molecules are approximately 80 nucleotides in length. Their secondary structure includes four short double-helical elements and three loops (D, anti-codon, and T loops). The record is from RNAcentral. Lineage: Bacteria; Pseudomonadati; Pseudomonadota; Betaproteobacteria.
GCCCGGAUGGUGAAAUUGGUAGACACAAGGGACUUAAAAUCCCUCGGCCUAAACAGCCGUGCCGGUUCGAUUCCGGCUCCGGGCACCA